AGUUCUCUCUUGACUUUAUGCACAACAUAUUGUUGGUGUUAAUAUCGUGACCAAGUAAUUGGUGUUGCCUGAGCAACAUUUUUGAAUCUUGCAGGUUACUAUAAGAAAAAAAGAAAAAAAGGGAAAAAGGGAAAAAAAAAAGAAAAAAAAGGAAAAAAAAGGUAAAAGGGGAAAAAAGGAAAAAAAAGGAAAAAUAAAAGAAAAAAGAAGUAGAGACGAUUACUCAACUAUGCCUGUGGAGGAUGAAGAUGUUGAGCCAAGAGAAAUCAGUUUGGAAGAGAUUGAGAGCAGAUUAGGAAUUCAAGUAGAGACGAUUACUCAACUAACAGAACUUGCAUCCUCCAAAAAGAUUGCUCUUGGAGAUUCUUCAUAAGUUUGUCGAACAAUAAAGAAGGUUAUAUCACAGAUGUAAACCGUUGCUGUUGCAGCUGAAGCUAUUCAAGCACUGGGCAACCUUUAUAGGGGUCUGAAACACUUCCCAAGAAAAAAAAAAGCGUUGUUGCAGCUGAACCUGUAUAGAAGUCUGAGAACACUUCCCAAAAAAAGAAAAUAAAAAGGAAAAAAAAAGAAAAGAAAAAAGGGGAAAAAGUAAAAAAAUGGAAAAAAGAAAAAAGGAAUAAAAAAGAAAAAAAGGAAAAAAAGAGAAAAAAGUAGAGAUUAUCACUCAACUAUGCCUGUGGAGCUUGAAGAUGUUGAGCCAAGAGAAAUGAGUUUGGAAGAGAUUGAGAGCAGAUUAGGAUCUCUUAUUCAAGUAGAGACGAUUACUCAACUAAAAUGUGCGGUGUGGAAAGAGCGGCUUAAAGGGUACUUGAAUUUCUUCAAGAGCUUCUGGAUCUGUUGAGAUAUGAGGGGCUACACUAUCAGAAGUCUGGACAUAACAUUGAAAAGUUCGAGAAAAAAUGCAUGAACUGAUGAACCAAGUCAUCCAAACAUAUUCUGCUGCAACGACUAUUCCUUACAUUUUACAGGGUUUGCGAUCUAGGAACAACAGAACGAGGACCGAGUCCGCUGACCAUGUUGGAGUCUUAUUAGAUAACUAUGGAGCUGAGAGGAUUAUGGAAUUGGAAUACAUCAUUCGCCGUAAGGAUAAUCAACAUACUCAUGCUUAGUGGAAAGAAGCCUAUUGCUGCAGAGCCAGCUGCCACUAAGAAAGCCAUGUCUGGAAAAUCUGGUACCAACAAAAAGGGUGAUGGAGGAUGACAAACAACAAAAAUUUCUAAACCUAUGGAGCGUGAAGAUGUCGAGCCAACAGAAAUGAGUUUAUAGAGUUUUAGAGCAGAUUAGGAUCCUUUAUCCAAGCAGAGACAAUUACCCAACUAAAAAGUGUUGUGUGGAAAGAGCGGCUUGAAGAAUGAUGUCAUGAAAUACUUUCGAGAGGGUCUUCAUCGGAGGCUCUUAAGUGCUGACUUCAAAGAUCAAGUUGAUGGCAUUGAGAUGUUGCAGAAGGUUCUUUCAACAUAAAUUCUAGUUUCUGUUCUGUAACUUGAAAUUUUCUUUUAACCUUCGAUUAGUUUUUUUAUGUCAGCAUGCCGUGUGCUUAGCUAUCUGAAUUUAUCCAAUGAUAUUAUGAAAAAGAAAUGAGAGGUAUCAUAUUUGUUGAGUAUUCUCAAGACACUUGUUAUUAGAACAUUUGUUUAUUCAGUUUGUUUGUGGAAUUGCUAAAAUUACAAAUUGUUAUUGAUUUUCCCAUAUCGAGCUCUCUAAUGAUGUUACAACUAGUGCAUAUUUAAACUAUCUCUCUUGACCUUCUGUAAUUUUGAAAAAGUACUUGAAAUUAUUCCCGAGCUUCUGGAUAUGUUGAGAAAUGAGGGUUACACUAUGACAGAAGUAGAGGAAACCAUCUUUCUUCCUGGCUUGGUUGAGAAGGUCUAAUCCAGCUGAACAAAGUGGGGACUUAUCAAGACCCGUUGGCAUCCCAACAUUCAAUCAUUAUAGACUACCAAUGCCGCAGGCUUAGUCUGCUGUUGGGCUAAAAUCAUAGAAUAUGGUUCUCCUGAACAGGGUAGGGGGUAAAGAUGAGGAAUAUUUUUCAAUGGAAUGCUUUUUCAGAAGAUUAGGCUGAUGAAGGCAUGAAAGCUAACAGAUAUGAGUUUGGAAGAGAUUUGGAGCAGAUUAGGAUCCCUUAUUGAUUCAGAGACGAUUACUCAACUAAAAAGUGUUGUGUGGAAAGAGCGGCUUGAAGGUGAUGAUAUUUGGAUAUAUGUCAGGAAGCUCCGAGGGAGAACUAUGGCGUUUCUGAAAUCCACACAGAUAGACUACCAAUGCCGCAGACUUAGUCUGGUGUUGGGCUCACAGACUGGAAUGAAGCUUUAAAAAUCAUAGAAUAUGGUUCUCCUGAACAGGGUAGGGGGUAAUGAUGAGGAAUAUUUUUCAAUGGAAUGCUUUUCGGCAGAUUAGGCUGAUGAAGGCAUGAAAGCUAACAGAUAUGAGUUUGGAAGAGAUUUGGAGCAGAUUAGGAUCCCUUAUUGAUUCAGAGACGAUUACUCAACUAAAAAGUGUUGUGUGGAAAGAGCGGCUUGAAGGGAGAACUAUGGCGUUUCUGAAAUCCACACAGAUAGACUACCAAUGCCGCAGACUUAGUCUGGUGUUGGGCUCACAGACUGGAAUGAAGCUUUAAAAAUCAUAGAAUAUGGUUCUCCUGAACAGGGUAGGG
Molecule: long non-coding RNA, 2653 nt
Organism: Salvia splendens (bonfire salvia)
Lineage: Eukaryota; Viridiplantae; Streptophyta; Magnoliopsida; Lamiales; Lamiaceae
Exons: 18
Source: RefSeq, a predicted model, not a curated record